AAGUCGUAACAAGUCUACGUAGGUGGAACCGAGCGGAGGAUCCAAUUGACCGAGUUUAGGCAAGCUCCCAAACCCCUGUGAACAUACCAAUUGUUGCCUCGGCGAAUCAGCCCGCUCCCGGUAAAACGGGACGGCCCGCCAGAGGACCCCUAAACUCUGUUUCUAUAUGUAACUUCUGAGUAAAACCAUAAAUAAAUCAAAA
Molecule: unclassified non-coding RNA, 202 nt
Filed under: plant metagenome
Description: partial contains small subunit ribosomal RNA and internal transcribed spacer 1
Source: RNAcentral